Trichomycterus rosablanca is the source of this 204-nucleotide long non-coding RNA. RefSeq lists it as uncharacterized. NCBI's taxonomy places the organism in Eukaryota, Metazoa, Chordata, Actinopteri, Siluriformes, Trichomycteridae. The record is from RefSeq and is a predicted model, not a curated record. The transcript is spliced from 3 exons.
UGAACAAGAUCUUGGUGACAGAAGACACUGUGGACUUUCAUUGACUUUGGCUUGGAGCUACAGGCCACCAAUGAUCUUAAUGAAAGAAUUCUGAGCCAUCCUGCCAUUCCUGAGAGCCCCUAAUGGACUUUAACCAUAUCCAAGGAGCAAAUUAAUCUGGCGGAUACAGAGGACCGAUUCAACUUUAACACAGCUACGAACAGG